GGGACGAUCGUUCUAAGAAAAGAGGGGUGGAGCACCUUGGGGGUAUGUGAAAACCCUCGAGUUGAGUAGGUGAGACAGUGAAAGGGAGUUCGAGUGAGAGAAGAAAACAGAGAGAAAGACGAUAGAGAGAACCGUGAAAGAGAGGGAGGAAAAUCUGAGAGAGAGUGAGAAGAGCGGUGGUUCAGGGCAACACCCACAAUCCUCAUCUCCUUAAUUGUGCUAUCAUCCAUUGUCCGGUGAGCUUCAACCUGCGUUACCAUCGAUCCAUCACACCUUUGCCAUUAAAUCUUCAACCUACCACUUCUUUGUCGUUGAUCCAUCACACUUCUGCCGUUAAAUCUUCAACCUACCACUUCUCUGUCAUCGACCUGCUCCCUACUGUCAUCUAUUGAAUUGCCGACCAAAGAGUUCCACUUCGUUCACUCGAGUACUUCAAACCCAUCUGCGAAUAUCAACGUUGUUGAUACUUGUAAAGGCCACAAGAGCCACAGUUAUAGACUUACAGUCACAUAAUCACGAAGUCACAAGUUGAAGUGGUGCUGUGCACUCGUGCUAAGAAGGAAGCCUGAAGAAGACUGGUUACUGCCUUACUGGUUUAGACGUUGGAGAUUUGGAGAAUACUAGAAUGAUCAAGACGUUCGAACUUGGAGUUGGAAACUCAGAACUCAGGAGGUUUGGCUGGAAAUGAAAAGGCGAAGAAACUGGAAAGGAAAUGCGCCAAAAGAACCAAAGAAGCUGAAAGCUUGCACAAGUACAAGGAAUUGGUGCUGGUUUUAUUCCUGAUGUUUUGAAGGUUGAUCUCAUCAGUGAAGUUAUUCAAGGAAGCCAUUAAGAUCUUUAAUUAGGUGAUCUUUUUCAGUGUUAAUGAGUAGUUGAAAUUAGGCUAAGUGAUGUAAUUUACUGCAGGAUUGUCUCCAUUAUUGUAUUAUCAUAUUUUGCUGUUGUUAGUCGGGAUUAACAAUCUUAUUGGUGUAUCUAUAAUCCAGCACUCUCUCUUAAAUAUCAGUAAAUUUCUUGAGUCAUAUUUAUUUCA
Nelumbo nucifera (sacred lotus) is the source of this 1033-nucleotide RNA transcript. It is a transcript of the gene named pectinesterase 2-like, with no coding region annotated. The record is from RefSeq and is a predicted model, not a curated record. Lineage: Eukaryota; Viridiplantae; Streptophyta; Magnoliopsida; Proteales; Nelumbonaceae.